This 453-nucleotide long non-coding RNA is filed under the name Homo sapiens (human). Its description in RNAcentral is "non-protein coding lnc-ST3GAL5-2:1". The record is from RNAcentral. Lineage: Eukaryota; Metazoa; Chordata; Mammalia; Primates; Hominidae.
AGGGCAGUACCCCCAUACAUGCCCUCUUGCCUGCCACCAUGUAAGACGUGCAUGUGGGCCUAUGUCACCAGAUUUCCACCACACCCACCUCCCCAUUGUCCCGUAACACUUGGCCACUGUCUCAUCUUUCCCAGUUCUCCCAUCCUGGUUGGCUCAGUAGAUUAGUUGAUUCUCUUUUCAGGUGCCGUCUUUGAAUUUUCCACACUCUUGGCGCAUGCGCCUCAGCUCCUUGGAUAUCACCCUGACAUUGAGCCCCUGGUGCUGUGCUUGGGACUGAGGGUAAAUGACACAGUCAGUGUCCCCAACCCCACCGCAUGGCAAAACAAAUGCUGACACUUCUAAUUGCCUUUUGUCAGCCGGGGAAGUGUUGAAUAUUACCAGGAUUUCAGGCAAAAUGACUGGGUAAGAGAUGACUUGAUACCUGACUUAAAAGAGGACACCCUGAUGGGCAGA